ACUAAGGGUGAGCACGCAGCGGCGGUAAGACGGAGGGGGUAAGCGUUGGCGGGAAUGAUGUGGCGGAAAGAGCGCGUAGGCGGUCUGUUACGUCUGCUGUGAAAACCCGGGGCUUAACCCUGGGCUUGCAGUGGGUACGGGCAGACUAGAGGCAGGUAGGGGAGAAUGGAAUUCCCGGUGGAGCGGUGAAAUGCGCAGAUAUCGGGAGGAACACCGGUGGCGAAGGCGGUUCUCUGGGCCUGACCUGACGCUGAGGAGCGAAAGCGUGGGGAGCGAACAGGAUUAGAUACCCUAGUAGUC
This 300-nucleotide ribosomal RNA is filed under the name uncultured Sulfophobococcus sp. RNAcentral's name for it is "bacterial SSU rRNA". It matches the Rfam family "Bacterial small subunit ribosomal RNA", at positions 496 to 795 of the family's 1533-position model. Lineage: Archaea; Thermoproteati; Thermoproteota; Thermoprotei; Desulfurococcales; Desulfurococcaceae. The record is from RNAcentral.